RNAcentral lists this ribosomal RNA (253 nucleotides) under uncultured bacterium. Its description in RNAcentral is "partial 16S ribosomal RNA". It matches the Rfam family "Bacterial small subunit ribosomal RNA", at positions 524 to 776 of the family's 1533-position model. The record is from RNAcentral.
UACGGAGGGAGCUAGCGUUGUUCGGAUAUACUGGGCGUAAAGCGCACGUAGGCGGAUCUUUAAGUCAGGGGUGAAAUCCCAAGGCUCAACCUUGGAACUGCCUUUGAUACUGGGGAUCUCGAGUCCGGAAGAGGUGAGUGGAACUGCGAGUGUAGAGGUGAAAUUCGUAGAUAUUCGCAAGAACACCAGUGGCGAAGGCGGCUCACUGGUCCGGUACUGACGCUGAGACGCGAAAGCGUGGGGAGCGAACAGG